AUAUCAUAUUUUUUUUUUUUUUUUUUUUUUUUUUUUUUUUUUUUUUUUUUUUUUUUUUUUUUUUUUUUUUUUUUUUCCCCCCCCCCCCCCCCCCCCCCGUGUGCAGUUCUAUCUACCUGUCUAUCCAUCUAAAUUGUAGUAAGUUCCUCUGGAGGUUUGGGGUAGAGAGAAAACUUAUGAUUUCUACCCAGCUAAAAAUAUUGCUAUUGAAGAGAAUCAACAUGCUGUUGCUUUUGAGAAGAUACGGAUAAGGAGAGGGUACUGUGGAGGAGAGUAGUGGCAGGUCAGGCAGGGGAAGAAACACACAUGGGUG
Molecule: long non-coding RNA, 313 nt
Filed under: Monodelphis domestica (gray short-tailed opossum)
Lineage: Eukaryota; Metazoa; Chordata; Mammalia; Didelphimorphia; Didelphidae
Description: lncRNA (ENSMODG00000040260.1)
Source: RNAcentral